This 262-nucleotide ribosomal RNA is filed under the name Pseudoduganella aquatica. RNAcentral's name for it is "partial 16S ribosomal RNA". It matches the Rfam family "Bacterial small subunit ribosomal RNA", at positions 891 to 1157 of the family's 1533-position model. The record is from RNAcentral. Lineage: Bacteria; Pseudomonadati; Pseudomonadota; Betaproteobacteria; Burkholderiales; Oxalobacteraceae.
AGAUUAAAACUCAAAGGAAUUGACGGGGACCCGCACAAGCGGUGGAUGAUGUGGAUUAAUUCGAUGCAACGCGAAAAACCUUACCUACCCUUGACAUGGAAGGAAUCCCCGAGAGAUUGGGGAGUGCUCGAAAGAGAACCUUCACACAGGUGCUGCAUGGCUGUCGUCAGCUCGUGUCGUGAGAUGUUGGGUUAAGUCCCGCAACGAGCGCAACCCUUGUCAUUAGUUGCUACGAAAGGGCACUCUAAUGAGACUGCCGGUG